GCCUCGGUAGCUCAAUUGGAUAGAGCAGCCGCCUUCUAAGCGGCAGGUCACAGGUUCGAAUCCUGUCCGAGGUA
This 74-nucleotide transfer RNA is filed under the name Rubinisphaera italica. It matches the Rfam family "tRNA". From Rfam's summary of the family: Transfer RNA (tRNA) molecules are approximately 80 nucleotides in length. Lineage: Bacteria; Pseudomonadati; Planctomycetota; Planctomycetia; Planctomycetales; Planctomycetaceae. The record is from Rfam by way of RNAcentral.